Molecule: ribosomal RNA, 484 nt
Filed under: uncultured bacterium
Lineage: Bacteria
Description: bacterial SSU rRNA
Rfam family: Bacterial small subunit ribosomal RNA
Source: RNAcentral
GAUGAACGCUAGCGGCAGGCUUAAUACAUGCAAGUCGAGGGGCAUCAAGGUACACGAAAGUGUAUUGUUGGCGACCGGCGAACGGGUGAGUAAUAGGUAGGUAACCUACCUCAUACUGAGGCAUAGCUGGGAGAAAUUCCAGGUAAUUCCUCAUGAGGUUAUAUGACACAUGUGAUAUAAUCAAAGGUAUCGCAAGGUACUGGUAUGAGAUGGGCUUACUGACCAUUAGCUAGUUGGUGAGAUAAGAGCUCACCAAGGCGAAGAUGGUUAGGGGUUUUGAGAGAGAGAUCCCCCACAUUGGAACUGAGAUACGGUCCAGACUCCUACGGGAGGCAGCAGUAGGGAAUAUUGGGCAAUGGGCGGAAGCCUGACCCAGCCAUGCCGCGUGAAGGAAGACGGCCUUAUGGGUUGUAAACUUCUUUACUAUGCGACUAACUAGAUUUACGAGAUAAUUCUAUAGAAUGUAGCAUAGCAAAAGCACCGG